RNAcentral lists this ribosomal RNA (849 nucleotides) under Alternaria indefessa. RNAcentral's name for it is "eukaryotic LSU rRNA". It matches the Rfam family "Eukaryotic large subunit ribosomal RNA", at positions 68 to 935 of the family's 3401-position model. The record is from RNAcentral. Lineage: Eukaryota; Fungi; Ascomycota; Dothideomycetes; Pleosporales; Pleosporaceae.
ACAGGGAUUGCCCUAGUAACGGCGAGUGAAGCGGCAACAGCUCAAAUUUGAAAUCUGGCUCUUUUAGAGUCCGAGUUGUAAUUUGCAGAGGGCGCUUUGGCUUUGGCAGCGGUCCAAGUUCCUUGGAACAGGACGUCACAGAGGGUGAGAAUCCCGUACGUGGUCGCUGGCUAUUGCCGUGUAAAGCCCCUUCGACGAGUCGAGUUGUUUGGGAAUGCAGCUCUAAAUGGGAGGUACAUUUCUUCUAAAGCUAAAUAUUGGCCAGAGACCGAUAGCGCACAAGUAGAGUGAUCGAAAGAUGAAAAGCACUUUGGAAAGAGAGUCAAACAGCACGUGAAAUUGUUAAAAGGGAAGCGCUUGCAGCCAGACUUGCUUACAGUUGCUCAUCCGGGCUUUUGCCCGGUGCACUCUUCUGUAGGCAGGCCAGCAUCAGUUUGGGCGGUAGGAUAAAGGUCUCUGUCACGUACCUCCUUUCGGGGAGGCCUUAUAGGGGAGACGACAUACUACCAGCCUGGACUGAGGUCCGCGCAUCUGCUAGGAUGCUGGCGUAAUGGCUGUAAGCGGCCCGUCUUGAAACACGGACCAAGGAGUCUAACAUCUAUGCGAGUGUUUGGGUGUCAAGCCCGAACGCGUAAUGAAAGUGAACGGAGGUGGGAACCCGCAAGGGUGCACCAUCGACCGAUCCUGAUGUCUUCGGAAGGAUUUGAGUAAGAGCAUGGCUGUUGGGACCCGAAAGAUGGUGAACUAUGCUUGAAUAGGGUGAAGCCAGAGGAAACUCUGGUGGAGGCUCGCAGCGGUUCUGACGUGCAAAUCGAUCGUCAAAUUUGGGCAUAGGGGCGAAAGACUAAU